RNAcentral lists this ribosomal RNA (603 nucleotides) under uncultured fungus. RNAcentral describes it as "eukaryotic LSU rRNA". It matches the Rfam family "Eukaryotic large subunit ribosomal RNA", at positions 23 to 641 of the family's 3401-position model. The record is from RNAcentral. Lineage: Eukaryota; Fungi.
ACCCGCUGAACUUAAGCAUAUCAAUAAGCGGAGGAAAAGAAACCAACAGGGAUUGCCCUAGUAACGGCGAGUGAAGCGGCAACAGCUCAAAUUUGAAAUCUGGCGUCUUUGGCGUCCGAGUUGUAAUUUGCAGAGGGCGCUUUGGCAUUGGCAGCGGUCCAAGUUCCUUGGAACAGGACGUCACAGAGGGUGAGAAUCCCGUACGUGGUCGCUAGCCUUUACCGUGUAAAGCCCCUUCGACGAGUCGAGUUGUUUGGGAAUGCAGCUCUAAAUGGGAGGUAAAUUUCUUCUAAAGCUAAAUACUGGCCAGAGACCGAUAGCGCACAAGUAGAGUGAUCGAAAGAUGAAAAGCACUUUGGAAAGAGAGUUAAAAAGCACGUGAAAUUGUUGAAAGGGAAGCGCUUGCAGCCAGACUUGCCUGUAGUUGCUCAUCCGGGUUUUUACCCGGUGCACUCUUCUAUAGGCAGGCCAGCAUCAGUUUGGGCGGUUGGAUAAAGGUCUCUGGCAUGUACCUCUCUUCGGGGAGAACUUAUAGGGGAGACGACAUGCAACCAGCCCGGACUGAGGUCCGCGCAUCUGCUAGGAUGCUGGCGUAAUGGCUGU